GCCGACUUGUGUAGUGGGUAGUGACCCUGACUGCUAAGCUGAAGGUCCCGGGUUCGAUUCCCGGCUGGGGCA
This 72-nucleotide transfer RNA is filed under the name Plutella xylostella (diamondback moth). RNAcentral describes it as "tRNA-Ser". The record is from RNAcentral. Lineage: Eukaryota; Metazoa; Arthropoda; Insecta; Lepidoptera; Plutellidae.